RNAcentral lists this unclassified non-coding RNA (716 nucleotides) under Hevea brasiliensis (rubber tree). The record is from RNAcentral. Lineage: Eukaryota; Viridiplantae; Streptophyta; Magnoliopsida; Malpighiales; Euphorbiaceae.
AUUUAUUCACAAUUUCUGGAUCAACCUCCCACAUUUUUAUCAGUUGCAAAAUUUUUCAUAACAUUUUUUAACAUUUACUUUAGAAAAAACCCAACAGUGCAUUUGCUUCUUGAGUGCUCAUCUCAUUAUAUUUUUUUUCCAGGGUUUGUAUCAUGUGAAAAAAAUGUGUAGUCGUGACUUGUGGAUUUUGGAGAAAGUGGUAUUGCAAAAGCAACAUAAAUCUUUUCACUUUCAUUGAUCAAGGAAGGCAAUCCUCCAGUAAUUUGUGCAGGCAGUAUGCAUUAUUGUAUAUUUAUUGUGUUUAUUUGGAAUUCUGUUGCAUGAUAUAACUUUUUUUUUUUUGGUAGAAAUUUAACUUGGAAUAAUUAUGUAUUUUGAACUUUGGGAAAGAAUUAUAAAUUUAGAAACAGGAAAAGCUAUAUAUACAUUUAGAAACAGGAAAAGCUAUGUAUCUUAAUAAUUUUGUUCCAGUUUUAAUAAUUAUGUAUUUUGCAAUUUGAAUAUUCUGUGCAGAGAGAGAUUAGGAUCUUUUUUUUUUUUAAAGAAUAGAAAACCGACCAGAUCAAAACAAAAUUAAAAAGUUCAGUUUGGUGUUUCUGCAGUCAUCUGGUUCAGUUAAUUCAGUUUGGUUCCAAAACAACCAAUAGCACACCCUACAAGGCUCCUCAGUCUUGAAUUAAACUGUUCUCUACCCUCUUGAAUCAGCGCUAAUUGUA